This 468-nucleotide ribosomal RNA is filed under the name uncultured bacterium. RNAcentral describes it as "partial 16S ribosomal RNA". It matches the Rfam family "Bacterial small subunit ribosomal RNA", at positions 28 to 507 of the family's 1533-position model. The record is from RNAcentral.
GACGAACGCUGGCGGCGUGCUUAACACAUGCAAGUCGAACGGAAAGGCCCUGCUUUUGUGGGGUGCUCGAGUGGCGAACGGGUGAGUAACACGUGAGUAACCUGCCCUUGACUUUGGGAUAACUUCAGGAAACUGGGGCUAAUACCGGAUAGGAGCUCCUGCUGCAUGGUGGGGGUUGGAAAGUUUCGGCGGUUGGGGAUGGACUCGCGGCUUAUCAGCUUGUUGGUGGGGUAGUGUCUUACCAAGGCUUUGACGGGUAGCCGGCCUGAGAGGGUGACCGGCCACAUUGGGACUGAGAUACGGCACAGACUCCUACGGGAGGCAGCAGUGGGGAAUAUUGCACAAUGGGCGGAAGCCUGAUGCAGCCACGCCGCGUGCGGGAUGACGGCAUUCGGGUUGUAAACCGCUUUCGCCUGUGACGAAGCGUGAGUGACGGUAAUGGGUAAAGAAGCACCGGCUAACUACGUG